Molecule: ribosomal RNA, 372 nt
Filed under: Triticum aestivum (bread wheat)
Lineage: Eukaryota; Viridiplantae; Streptophyta; Magnoliopsida; Poales; Poaceae
Description: partial small subunit ribosomal RNA
Source: RNAcentral
AUGGAUAAUACAAAUCACAAUAUCAUUGUGUGGAACGUCCGUGGGCUUAAUAAUGCAGCUAGGAGGGCUGCCAUGAGAAGUGUAGUGGAGCAUGCGGUGGCCUCUGUGGUGUGCAUCCUGGAGUCCAAGCUAGCGGUGGUGGACCAACGCGUGAUUGCCUCUUCGUUGGGCCUGAAAUUUGAUGCGUACGUGGUCCUACCCACGCGCAGCACGACAGGCAGGAUCAUUGUUGCCUGGGACUCUUCGGUGCUCAUGAUGCCUGCCUUCCUCAUCGACCAGUUCUCUGUCACGAUCGAGAUGGCUUUUGGGGAGGCCAACCAGUGGACCCUGACCACGGUUUACGGGCUGACGAAGGAUGCGCUGAAGAUAUAG